GACGAACGCUGGCGGCGUGCUUAACACAUGCAAGUCGAGCGGUAAGGCCCUUUCGGGGGUACACGAGCGGCGAACGGGUGAGUAACACGUGGGUGACCUGCCCUUAGCUCUGGGAUAAGCCUGGGAAACUGGGUCUAAUACCGGAUAUGACUCCAUGACGCAUGUUGUGGGGUGGAAAGCCUUGUGCGGCUAGGGAGUGGGCCCGCGGCCUAUCAGCUUGUUGGUGGGGUGAUGGCCUACCAAGGCGACGACGGGUAGCCGGCCUGAGAGGGCGACCGGCCACACUGGGACUGAGACACGGCCCAGACUCCUACGGGAGCA
RNAcentral lists this ribosomal RNA (321 nucleotides) under uncultured bacterium. RNAcentral's name for it is "bacterial SSU rRNA". It matches the Rfam family "Bacterial small subunit ribosomal RNA", at positions 28 to 349 of the family's 1533-position model. The record is from RNAcentral.